RNAcentral lists this long non-coding RNA (1151 nucleotides) under Anser brachyrhynchus (Pink-footed goose). RNAcentral's name for it is "lncRNA (ENSABRG00000020711.1)". Lineage: Eukaryota; Metazoa; Chordata; Aves; Anseriformes; Anatidae. The record is from RNAcentral.
UUGGUAUCUGAGAGCUCUGCAGUAAAGAAAACCUGCCCAUAUGCACUGGGGGUGGAGAGAGAAGGUUUUAUAACAGAUUUAAAAUUAGAAAACAAAAUGGCCUGAUUAACAGCAGUAGGAAGAGUUAUGCAGAGGAUGAGGGGAGAAAUUAAAGGAUGACAUUCAAAGGCAGCUGUGAAGUAUGAGAAGCUGCAGCACGCGGAGGUAGUCAAAUCUAGCAGUACAGAAAGUUCUGAAUGAUCUGUAAUGCUGGAAUAAAUCAGAUAGUUGGGGGGGGAUCUUUCAAGUGGUGGAUCAUCAAAAAUGUGGAUCACCUCUACUUAGCCAGGUGGUAAACCAGUAGAUUCCAUCCUAGGCUAGAGCAACAUAUUGUUAUUAAAAGUGGGUGUUGUCUAGGAAAUGUGUGCAAAGAUAAUUCAGUCAAACUGACCUGCUGAGGAUAUGAUUUUAGUGUGCACCAGUUUUUGUUGUUGUUGUUGUUGUUUGUUUGUUUGUUUGUUUUAGAGUUGUUAUUUGUUGUUUAAUUGUUGUUUGUUUGUUUAGAGUCUCCCCCCACCCCAACAUUUUAUUCUUCAGAAAGCAAAUGUAAUUCAGCUAUUGCUGUCUCCAUCUGAGAACGUAUCUUUCACUUACCUUUCACUUAUGGACGAAAGGUAGAGCUCCUUAACAAAGGUGCUUUCCAAUUCUGGUCACAUGGUGUAGAGAGAAUGAAAGACUCUGUUGCACAGCUACAUUAAGGAAACUCUUGAUGCCUCAGUGAGGAUCCUUAUGGAGGCUUCCCUCUAGAGAGCUUUCCCGUGAAAGAUCUGCUACAGUGCUAAUGUGGACCACGCUCUGUCUUCUUGCUGCCCUGGACCUACCCUAACUGCCAACAAACUGCAGAAAGAGGCAACAUAAUGUGCCCAUCUCUGAGGAGGAUUGUGAAAAGAAAGUUGCAGGCCUUCUCGUUUGAAUUUUCUGAAGUUUUCUCUGAUACGUCGUCCUUUGUUUCUGAAUUGUGGUGCUUGAACCAGUUAGAUUGAGGAAAAGAAUUACAAAACUCCAGAGAUGGAUCUCCAUCUGCAGCUCACUGGGAGUGAAUUGCAGCUGUUGUCUUUAGCUGUCUUAAUUUCUAUAAAUACAUGUGAAUGUCAACACACACUGAAUAAAAU